This 1396-nucleotide ribosomal RNA is filed under the name Geitlerinema sp. W-1. Its description in RNAcentral is "bacterial SSU rRNA". It matches the Rfam family "Bacterial small subunit ribosomal RNA". The record is from RNAcentral. Lineage: Bacteria; Bacillati; Cyanobacteriota; Cyanophyceae; Geitlerinematales; Geitlerinemataceae.
AACGGACUCUUCGGAGUCAGUGGCGGACGGGUGAGUAACGCGUGAGAACCUGCCUCUAGGAGGGGGAUAACAGCGGGAAACGGCUGCUAAUACCCCAUGAGCCGUAAGGUAAAAAGGAAUCCGCCUAGAGAGGGGCUCGCGUCCGAUUAGCUAGUUGGGGAGGUAAAAGCUCACCAAGGCGACGAUCGGUAGCUGGUCUGAGAGGAUGAGCAGCCACACUGGGACUGAGACACGGCCCAGACUCCUACGGGAGGCAGCAGUGGGGAAUUUUCCGCAAUGGGCGAAAGCCUGACGGAGCAACGCCGCGUGAGGGAAGAAGGCCUUUGGGUUGUAAACCUCUUUUCUCAGGGAAGAAGUUCUGACGGUACCUGAGGAAUCAGCCUCGGCUAACUCCGUGCCAGCAGCCGCGGUAAUACGGAGGAGGCAAGCGUUAUCCGGAAUUAUUGGGCGUAAAGCGUUCGUAGGCGGCCGUUCAAGUCUGCUGUCAAAAGUCCGAGGCUCAACUUCGGGAAGGCAGUGGAAACUGAACAGCUAGAGGUCGGAAGGGGCAGAGGGAAUUCCCAGUGUAGCGGUGAAAUGCGUAGAUAUUGGGAAGAACACCGGUGGCGAAAGCGCUCUGCUGGGCCGAACCUGACGCUGAGGGACGAAAGCUAGGGGAGCGAAUGGGAUUAGAUACCCCAGUAGUCCUAGCCGUAAACGAUGGAGACUAGGUGUUGCCUGUAUCGACCCGGGCAGUGCCGAAGCCAACGCGUUAAGUCUCCCGCCUGGGGAGUACGCACGCAAGUGUGAAACUCAAAGGAAUUGACGGGGGCCCGCACAAGCGGUGGAGUAUGUGGUUUAAUUCGAUGCAACGCGAAGAACCUUACCAGGGCUUGACAUCCCGCGAAUCCCGGCGAAAGUUGGGAGUGCCUACGGGAGCGCGGAGACAGGUGGUGCAUGGCUGUCGUCAGCUCGUGUCGUGAGAUGUUGGGUUAAGUCCCGCAACGAGCGCAACCCUCGUCCUUAGUUGCCAGCCUUAAGUGGGGCACUCUAGGGAGACUGCCGGUGAUAAACCGGAGGAAGGUGGGGAUGACGUCAAGUCAUCAUGCCCCAUAUGUCCUGGGCGACACACGUACUACAAUGGUCGGGACAGCGAGCAGCCAACUCGCGAGAGUGAGCUAAUCUCUCAAACCCGGCCUCAGUUCAGAUUGCAGGCUGCAACUCGCCUGCAUGAAGGAGGAAUCGCUAGUAAUCGCAGGUCAGCAUACUGCGGUGAAUCCGUUCCCGGGCCUUGUACACACCGCCCGUCACACCAUGGAAGUCGGCCAUGCCCGAAGUCAUUACUCUAACCGUUCGCGGAGGAGGGUGCCGAAGGCAGGGCUGAUGACUGGGGUGAAGUCGUAACAAGGUAGCCGUA